GUCGAGCGAACUGAUUAGAAGCUUGCUUCUAUGACGUUAGCGGCGGACGGGUGAGUAACACGUGGGCAACCUGCCUGUAAGACUGGGAUAACUUCGGGAAACCGAAGCUAAUACCGGAUAGGAUCUUCUCCUUCAUGGGAGAUGAUUGAAAGAUGGUUUCGGCUAUCACUUACAGAUGGGCCCGCGGUGCAUUAGCUAGUUGGUGAGGUAACGGCUCACCAAGGCAACGAUGCAUAGCCGACCUGAGAGGGUGAUCGGCCACACUGGGACUGAGACACGGCCCAGACUCCUACGGGAGGCAGCAGUAGGGAAUCUUCCGCAAUGGACGAAAGUCUGACGGAGCAACGCCGCGUGAGUGAUGAAGGCUUUCGGGUCGUAAAACUCUGUUGUUAGGGAAGAACAAGUACAAGAGUAACUGCUUGUACCUUGACGGUACCUAACCAGA
Molecule: ribosomal RNA, 445 nt
Filed under: Bacillus sp. (in: firmicutes)
Lineage: Bacteria; Bacillati; Bacillota; Bacilli; Caryophanales; Bacillaceae
Description: bacterial SSU rRNA
Rfam family: Bacterial small subunit ribosomal RNA
Source: RNAcentral